Cucurbita maxima (winter squash) is the source of this 101-nucleotide small nucleolar RNA. RefSeq annotates it as small nucleolar RNA snoR126. Lineage: Eukaryota; Viridiplantae; Streptophyta; Magnoliopsida; Cucurbitales; Cucurbitaceae. The transcript has a single exon. The record is from RefSeq and is a predicted model, not a curated record.
AGGCAGUGAUGACAAACUACAUUUCUCGAAUCUGAAACUGUGUGCUAAAUCACAGUGGAUCAAAGUUACCUGAUGACUGCGUUUGUGCGUGUCUGAGCCUU